UAGUCGUUGUUGGUUUUCUCAAGACUAGUAGUACACCAUAGCCAUAUCCUCAAAAAUUAAGUUUAGCUUACCAAUAUCAACACAUAUAUCUCAGCUUUCUUCCUUAGCAUUUUCUCCUUAGCUUUCAUCACAUUCAGUUUAUUCCUUACUGUUUGGAAUAAUAUUCGAGUUUUGAUCAUCCAAUUCGAAGAACCAAAGGAUCACAAACAGUCAACACAGGAAGGAUCACUUUUGUUUAUAUUUCCUCGUUACUUUCGUGAUGGUCUCAGUAUUCUUUGCUUCUUUACUCGGUAUUGGUUUUCUUCAAACUAGUAGCAUGCCAUCCAUAUCCUUAAAUCAUGUUUAGCAUGCCAACAAAUCUCAGCUUUCUUCCUUAAUUAACAUUUGCUCUUUUCUCACAUUCAGUUUAAUGCUUACCAUUUGGAAUAAGCUCUUUAACAAAACAUUGACAAAAUGCAUUUCAUCCAAUGAUAAGCUUUAAAAGACAGCAGCUUCUAAACGAGAGGAAUAUCAGAAAGGGAAAAAUGUAAGGGUGAUCCGGACAAGCGCAUAUAAAGUAAAGAGGAGAGAAAUAGAACAAUGGAGUAGUUGAUGGUGAAGAAUAAGAGCUUUGCACUUCCUUAAUUUGUGUCACAACUAAGAGAUGUAGUUGUACCUAGUACAACAAAAUCAAGCUCAAAGCAUGGAUGCUGUGUCGUCCGCACUAAUAGAGCCGGUAACUAAUUCUGUGUUGGAUCUGGUUAAAAAGCAUGUGGAUUACAUCCGUUACAGGCAAAACGUUGGUGAACUAUACGAGUGUGUUGAACAGCUUGAACUUGAUAAAGAAAGGGUAGAUCAUCAAUGUAAUAGAGCUGUCAAAAAUGGACACAACAUUCAUGUUAAGGCUAGAGAAUGGUCACGGAAAGUGGGUGAAUUUAAGACAGAAGUGGAGAACUAUAAGAAUGAUGAAGGCCACAGAAAGGCAGGGUUAACCAAUUGUUUAUUUCCUUACUUUAGGUAUAGACUAGGCAGACUAGCAAAGAAGAAGGCAGUGGAGGGUAAAAAGCUAAUCGAUGGUUGCCCCAAGCCUGAUGAAAUUGCUUUUCGGGGAAACGUAACAUUUAAUGAUGCCAUUUUGUCUAAUACUGAUCUUAUGGAAUUUGAUUCUAGAAAAUCCAUAAUGGAAGACAUAAUGGAAAAACUUGAAGAUCCCACUGUGAAAAUGAUUGGAGUGCAUGGCCCAGGUGGGGUGGGUAAGAGCACUUUAAUCAAAGCAAUUGCUGGCAGUGCUCAAGUCAAGAAACUGUUUAAUGUGGUGGCUUUUUCAGAAAUAACAGCCAAUCCCAAUGUAAAAAAAAUCCAGGAAGAUAUUGCUUACGUGUUAGGAUUGACAUUGGAAGGGGAAGGUGAGAAUGUGAGAGCUGAUUCUCUAAGGAGGAGGCUAAAGCAAGAGAAGGAGAAUACCCUUAUAAUCUUGGAUGACCUUUGGGACAGAUUAGACUUGAAUAAGUUAGGCAUUCCACUUGAUGAUGACAUGAAUGGUCUAAAAAUGAAGGGGGCUAGAAAACCAGAUGAAAUGUCCGGCACUAAUAAAGAAAAAUCUCAUGAUGAUUAUAAGGGGUGCAAAAUUCUGCUAACUUCAAGGGAUACAACUGUAUUGUCUGAGAAGAUGGCUGUUAAGUCAAUUUUCGGGGUAAAGGAAUUAGAAGAAGCGGAAGCUAUGAGGUUGUUAAAGAAGGUGACUGGAAUACCUGAUCAAAUGUCCCACUCUAAACAAGAAAUUGUUAGGAAGUACUGUGCAGGGAUACCCAUGGCUAUUGUUACAGUUGGAAGGGCAUUAAGAAACAAGAGCGAGUCAGUGUGGGAAGCUACGCUAGAUAAACUCAAAAGGCAAGAACUGGUGGGAGCACAAUACUCUAUGGAGAUUUCAGUAAAAAUGAGUUACGACCAUCUAGAAAAUGAGGAGCUCAAGUCCAUUUUCUUACUUUGUGCUCAAAUGGGUCAUCAACCCCUAAUUAUGGACUUGGUGAAGUAUUGCUUUGGUUUGGGUAUACUUGAAGGGGUCUACUCGCUUAGGGAAGCUCGGGACAAAAUAAAUAUAUGGAUUCAAAAGCUUAAACACUCGGGUUUGGUGAUGUUGGACGAAAGUUCCAGCAUUCAUUUCAAUAUGCAUGACAUGGUUCGAGAUGCUGCUUUAUCUAUAGCACACAAGGAGAAAAAUGUUUUUACUUUGAGAAAUGGCAAACUUGAUGAUUGGCCUGAACUCGAGAGGUGCACUUCUAUUUCUAUAUGCAACAGUGAUAUCAUUGAUGAGCUUCCUAAUGUUAUAAAUUGUCCUCAACUUAAAUUUUUCCAAAUUAACAGCGAUGAUCCAUCUGUAAAAAUACCUGAGAGUUUUUUUAAUGAAAUGAAAAAACUCAGAGUAUUAAUAUUGACUGGUAUUCAUCUAGAAAGCUUACCACCUUCAAUCCAAUGCCUAUCAAACCUCAGAUUACUUUGUUUGGAGCGAUGCAUUUUAGAUGGCAACUUAUCCUUCAUAGGAGAGCUGAAAAAAUUAAGAAUUCUCAGUUUUUCUGGAUCUCAACUUAAAAAAUUGCCAGCUGAGUUAUGUUGCUUAGAUAAGUUGCAACUACUUGACAUCAGCAAUUGUUCCAGAGUGGAGAUGAUUCCACGUAAUCUUAUAUCGAGGCUAAUUUCUUUAGAAGAGUUGUAUAUUAGAAAGAGCUUGAUCAAAAAAUUGACAGAAGGAGAGACAAACCGAAGUCGAUUUUCAUUUCUUCCUGAGCUAAAGCAUUUGCAUCAAUUGAAAGUGGUGGACUUAUGCAUCCCAUGUGCUGAAGUUUUGCCGAAGGACUUGUUCUUUGACAAGUUAAAUGAUUACAAGAUCGUGAUUGGAGGCUUUGAGACGCUUUUAGUUGGAGAUUUCAGGAUGCCUAAUAAGUACGAAGCAUUCAGAUCUUUGGCGUUGCAGCUGAAGGACAGAACUGACAAUAUUCAUUCCCAGACAGGGAUGAAAUUAUUGUUUAAAAGAGUUGAAAAUUUGUUGUUGGGAGAGCUAAGUGGUGUUCAAAAUGUCAUUGAUGAGUUGAAUUUGGAUGGAUUUCCCUGUCUGAAACACUUAUCUAUCACAAAUAACGAUGGCAUCAAAUAUAUCAACUCAAUGGAUUUGUCUCAUUCUCGAGAUGUUUUUCCCAAUUUGGAAUCUCUAUGUCUCAACAAACUGACGAACAUAGAAAUGAUAUGUCGCAGUCCAGUUACAGUUGACUCAUUUGCCAAAUUAAAAACCAUCAAGGUCAUACGGUGUACCUGUUUGAAGAAUCUCUUCUCCUUUUACAAGGAUAAAUUUGUUUCUAGUCUCGAAACAAUUGAUGUUUCUGAUUGUGGUUCUUUAAAGGAGAUCUUUGAAAUACUAGUAAAUCCUGACAAGGUUGAGCUUCUUAAGUUGCACUCUUUGACACUGAAGCGGUUGCCAUCAUUUACUAGUUUUUAUAAUUACAGAGUAGAGGGACCUUCUGAAUCUCAACUGACAGAAGCACAAACAGUAGAGAGGGAUGAGAAAGAAAUUACUAUUGCACAAGAUGAACGUAGUGGCAUGGCUGCCCCUCUCUUUGGUGAACUGGUUGAAAUUCCAAACUUAGAGAGCUUGAAUUUAUCCUCAGUCAGAAUCCAUAAGAUAUGGAGUGACCAACCACUGUCAAGUUUCUGCUUUCAAAGCUUAGUAAAAUUAGUUGUGGAAGGUUGUGAUAAUUUGAGAUAUUUAUGUUCAUUGUCUGUGGCUAGUGGUUUGAAGAAACUGAAAGGACUCUUCGUAAGUAAAUGUCGGUUGAUGGAGAAGAUUUUUGAGACUGAAGGAAAUAGUGCAGACAAAAAGGUCUGCGUCUUUCCUAAGUUGGAAGAAAUCGACCUCAGUGAAAUGAAUAUGUUAACAGACAUAUGGCAUGCUGAAGUGAUGAGUGCAGAUUCCUUUUCUAGUCUCAUUUCUGUGCACAUAUAUGGGUGCAAAAAAAUAGAUAAGAUUUUUCCGAGUCACAUGGAAGGAUGGUUUGCAAGUUUGAACAGCUUGAAGGUUUAUGAUUGUGAGUCAGUAGAAGUGAUUUUUGAAAUCAAAGAUUCUCAGCAAGUAGAUGUAUCUUCUGCGAUAGACACAAAUUUGCAGCUUAUUGAUGUAUGGAGACUCCCAAACUUGAAGCUAGUGUGGAGCACAGAUCCAGGAGGAAUUCUUAACUUCAAAAGACUGCGGAGUAUAGAGGUUGAUAACUGUGAUAAACUGAGGAAUGUCUUUCCAGCAUCUGUGGCCAAAGAUGUUCGAAAGCUUGAAUCCAUGUCGGUGAUGAGCUGUGAGGGAAUGCUAGAGAUCGUUGAAGAUGAAUCAGAAACAAACAAUGAAACAUUAAUGUUUCCUGAACUAACCAACAUGAAAUUAUAUAGCCUAUCAAACCUCAAGCGUUUCUACAAGGGGAAGCAUUUUAUAGAAUGUCCAAGAUUGAAGAAGUUGACAAUGGGCCGUUGUGAGAAGCUUAAAACAUUCCCAAUAGAAACCAGUGAAACCACAAACGAAGAAGUAAAACCAGUUUUCUCAGCUGAAAAGGUAAUCCCCAACUUGGAGUAUAUGGAUAUUUACUUUGACGAAGCGCAGAAUUGGUUAUCAACCAACACCAUGAAGUACCGAAUGCACUCUUUAAAAGAGCUUAGCGUGAAUUCAGUAAAAAGUGGUGAACUUCUCCGUCUGAUUCUGUACAGUAUGCCAAAUCUAGAAAAGUUACAAUUGGAUCACUUUGACUCUCAACAUUUGCUUAAAUUGACAUCAGUGCCAUGUUUGGGAACCGUAUUACAGCUGAAGGAAUUGGUUUUGUGGAGUUCAAAGAUAAGGGAUUUAGGAUUUGAACGAGAGCCAGUUCUACAGAGACUAGAGCUUUUGAGCUUAUAUGAUUGCAACAAAUUGAGAAAUUUGGCUCCUCGCUCGGUAUCAUUGGCUUACUUGACAAAUUUGAAAGUAAGUUAUUGUAAUGGAUUAAAUUUUUUAAUGGCAUCCUCGACGGCCCGAAGCUUGGUUCAACUUAAGAGCAUGAAGGUUAUUUAUUGUGAUAAUGUAAAGGAAAUAGUAACCAUUGAUGAAAAUAAAGAAGGCAGAGUGAUGGAAAUUGAAUUCAGCAAAUUGAUUACUAUAGAACUUCAAGGGCUAAGAAACCUCACAAGUUUUUGCAGUUACAAGAACUGUGAAUUUAAAUUCCCGUCAUUGGAAAUGUUGAUAGUGAAUAGAUGCCCCAUGAUGGAAACAUUAACCGAGAAUCGCACAACAGCUCCAAAGUUACAAAAUAUAUUUGCUUUUGAAGGAGAAAAGGAAUCGAGAUGGCAGUGGGAAGGUGACUUGAAUGCCACCAUACAAAAAGAUUUUAAAAAUAAGCUUUUGGAGUCUGCACGAAGUGGAUCAUCUAUUAGGCUCAGCAAUAGCCCAGUACAAAAGAUAUGGCAUGGCUCACUGUCGAUCCCAGACUCGUGCUUCAGUAACUUGGGCACCUUGAUUGUUGGCGGCUGCCAAUUUUUAUCCGAUGCAGUGCUACCCUUCAAUUUACUUCCUUUAUUACCUAAAUUGGAAGAAUUGGAAGUUGAAAACUGUGAAUAUGUGAAAACCAUAUUUGAUGUGAAGUAUAUAACCCAAGACAGAAAAAUGACAACUAUGGGAGCAACCAGCAUCCCCCUCCCUUUUCCCCUUAAGAAAUUGACUUUAUCGGAGCUGCCAAAUCUGGAGAAUGUUUGGAAUGAACAUCCUCAUAGAAUUCCAAGGAUGCAACUUUUACAAGAAGUAUAUGUUGACAAUUGUAAACGCCUUGCUAGUGUGUUUCCCACAUCGGUAGCCAAAGAUCUUCUGAAACUUGAAAAUCUAGUUGUGAAACACUGUGAGGGGUUGAUGGCAAUUGUUGCAGAGCAUAAUGCAGAUCCAAAAGGAACAAAUCUAGAGCUAACGUUCCCCAGUGUGAAGUCAUUGACGCUAUGGGAUUUGCCGAAGUUCAACUAUAAUGGUAUAUAUUGCAUUCAUGAUGCAACAAAAAUAAUUGAGCUUACACCCAACUUACAACAUCUAACACUCGGUCAAAACGAACUCAAGAUGAUUUUGCAUGGAGAAAUUCAGGGGAACCAUUUAAACAAGUUAAAAGUUCUAACUCUGUGCUUUCAUGUUGAGUCCGAUGUAUUUCCACAUGGAUUUCUACAACUGGUGCCUAAUAUAGAGGAGCUUGUGGUGUGUGAUGGAUCCUUCAAGGAGAUUUUCUGCCUUCAAAGUCCUAAUGUGGAUGAUACUACUCUCCUAUCACAACUGAAAGUGUUACGCUUGGAGUCCCUUCCAGAGCUCGUUUCCAUUGGGUCACUAAAUUUGGUACCAUGCACAAUGUCUUUCUCCAAUCUGACAAAGUUGGAAGUAAAAAGUUGCAAUAGCCUGCUAUGUUUGUUCACAUCCUCAACAGCCAAAAAUUUAGCUCAACUCCAAAAUAUGGUGAUAGAAUUUUGUGAAUCAAUUAAAGAGAUAGUGUCUAAGGAGGGGGAUGAAUCACAUGAGGAUGAGAUAACAUUUCCGCAGCUCAAUUGUUUGGUACUUGGAAAUUUACCAGAUCUCAGAAGCUUCUACGAAGGGAGUUUAAGUUUCCCAUCUUUGGAGGAAUUGUCAGUAAUCAAAUGCCACGGGAUGGAAACUUUAUGUCCGGGUACCCUAAAAGCAGACAAGUUGCUAGGAGUUCAAUUAAAGAGGUACUCAGAUGUCAUGCCAUUGGAAAUUGAUCUCAAGUCUACCAUACGGAAGGCAUUUCUAGCAAAGAUUUCAAAGUCUGCGCGCCGGGUAUCAGAUCUUAGACUCAGAGAUAACCCACUGCAAAAGAUAUGGCAAGGCUCACUAACAAUCCCAGAUUUGUGCUUCUGUAACUUGCACUCCUUGAUUGUGGACGGCUGCCAAUUUUUAUCAGAUGCAGUACUACCUUUCAAUUUACUUCCUUUCUUAACUGAAUUGGAAACAUUGGAAGUUCGAGACUGCGAUUCUGUGAAAACCAUAUUUGAUGUGAAUUGUACAAGACAAGACAGAAUAAUGACAACUAUGGGACCAACCAUCUUCCCCCUCCCUUUUCCUCUCAAGAAAUUGGUUUUACAGCGGCUGCCAAAUCUGGAGAAAGUUUGGAAUGACGACCCUCAUAGAAUUCUCAGGAUGCAACUGCUACAGCAAGUACAUGUUGAGAAAUGUGAAAACCUUACUAGUGUGUUUCCUGCAACAGUAGCCAAAGAUAUUGUGAAACUUGAAAAUCUAGUUGUGCAACACUGUGAGGGAUUGAUGGCUAUUGUUGCAGAGGAUAAUGCAGAUCCAAACGGAACAAAUCUUGAGCUUACAUUCCUCUGUGUGACGUCACUGACGAUAUGUGAUUUGCCAGAGUUAAAGUGUUUUUUGCAGUGUGACAUGUUGAAGACAGUUUCACAUGUAGAACCAAAUACUAAAAAUCAGAUCCGUAUUGAAAAGCUUACACCCAAUUUGCAGCACCUGACACUCGGUGAAAAUGAACUGAAGAUGAUUCCGCAUGGAGAAUUUCCAGGAAACGUCUUGCACAAUUUAAAAGCUCUUAUUUUGCUGAACUUCAGCGUUGAGUCCUAUGAAUUUGCAUAUGGAUUUCUACAACAGGUGCCCAAUAUUGAGAAGCUUGAGGUGUCUUGUAGUUCCUUCAAGGAGAUUUUCUGCUUUCAAAGUCCUAAUGUGGAUGAUACUGCACUCCUAUCACAGCUGAAAUUAUUAAGCUUGGAGUCCCUUUCAGAGCUUGAAACCAUAGGUUUUGAGAACACUUUGAUUGAGCCUUUUCUCAGAAAUCUAGAAACCUUGGAUGUAAGCAGUUGUUCAGUUUUAAGAAACUUGGCACCAUCCCCCAUAUGUUUCCCCAAUCUGAUGUGUUUGUUUGUAUUUGAGUGCCAUGGGUUGGAAAACUUGUUCACAUCCUCAACAGCCAAAAGUUUGUCUCGGCUCAAAAUAAUGGAAAUAAGAAGCUGUGAAUCAAUUAAAGAGAUAGUGUCUAAGGAGGGGGAUGGAUCAAAUGAAGACGAGAUAAUAUUUCGGCAGCUUCUUUAUUUGAAUCUUGAAUCUUUACCAAAUCUCAAAAGCUUCUAUACAGGGAGAUUGAGUUUCCCAUCCUUGCUGCAAUUGUCAGUAAUCAAUUGCCACUGUUUGGAAACUUUAUCUGCUGGUACCAUAGAUGCAGAUAAGUUGUAUGGAAUUAAGUUUCAGAAGAAAUCAGAAGCUAUCCCAUUGGAUAUUGAUCUCAAUUCUACCAUUCGGAAUGCAUUUCAGGCAACGGUUCCAGAUGCUUCAAGUGCCCCCUGACCAUUUGGGUUCGACAGGAAAUGUGAUGAAGAUUAGGAGGUUAAAGUGUUCUUCAAUACCUGUUGAUUAAGUCUGAUGUUUUAUCUAGGUUGAGUCCGCGUCCGAACUCUAAUAUUGCAGUAAGAAGAGAUUGACGGCAGAACUGAUGCAGAUGAACAAAGUAGCCUGGGUUUCACUAAGUUUGUUAAUUUGUGUGUUGAAAAAAACAAUAAGAGUUAUGCAUGCGUGUGGUUCUACAUAGUCGAUGGUGAAAUACAUUGUUCUAUUCUAUAUAUUAUGUAAUGUGUGAUUUUAAGUGAUAAAAGGAGUUGAAGACCAAAGAUGAAGUAUUGACUGUACUGUUUGUAUUUUGUAAGUUAUAUUUGUUUUGUUUGUUUAUCCUUAAUUUUACCUAUGUUUCAUGCUUCAA
Glycine soja is the source of this 8732-nucleotide RNA transcript. RefSeq lists it as uncharacterized. The transcript is spliced from 13 exons. NCBI's taxonomy places the organism in Eukaryota, Viridiplantae, Streptophyta, Magnoliopsida, Fabales, Fabaceae. The record is from RefSeq and is a predicted model, not a curated record.